Molecule: ribosomal RNA, 603 nt
Filed under: Triticum aestivum (bread wheat)
Lineage: Eukaryota; Viridiplantae; Streptophyta; Magnoliopsida; Poales; Poaceae
Description: partial small subunit ribosomal RNA
Source: RNAcentral
AUGGAAGAUAGAUUGAUCUGGGCUUGGGAACCAAAUGGGUCCUUCUCGGCGAGAUCGGCCUACAGGGCGUUCUUUGCUGGGAGAGUGGAGGCCGCUGGGGCCGUGCAAAUCUGGCGGUCAAGAGCGCCGGGGACCUGCAAAUUCUUCGCAUGGCUGGCGGCUCGGGAGAGGUGUUGGACGGCUGACAGGCUUGCGCGUCGGCACCUACCGCAUCCUCCGGCUUGCCCCUUCUAUGAUCAGGAGCCGGAGACAAUCAACCACAUCCUUCUCGGCUGCGUCUUUGCUAGACAAGUGUGGUUCACCAUUCUCGACCACUGGGACAAGCUAACUUGGUUGCCAACUGCGGAUGACAAUCUGGUGGAAUGGUGGACCUCCACCAACCCGCAGCCAAAGCUUAGGGAGGAGACUUGGACCGUCAUUGCAUUGGUGACUUGGAUGUUGUGGAAACGCAGAAAUGAUGUAGUGUUCAAUGGAGCGACAGCCUCCACAAGUGAGCUCCUCAGGAAGAUUGAUCUACAAGGGCAAGACUGGAGGGCAGCAGGGCUACUGCGUGAGGCGGGAUCACUCCCGAUUAGAGUAGAUGAGUGGGUUAGUAGCGAGUAG